Molecule: long non-coding RNA, 598 nt
Filed under: Fragaria vesca (wild strawberry)
Lineage: Eukaryota; Viridiplantae; Streptophyta; Magnoliopsida; Rosales; Rosaceae
Description: long non-coding RNA (FVES_LNC001517)
Source: RNAcentral
GAUUGGUCAGUUUGGUGUUGGUUUCUACUCUGCCUAUCUUGUUGCCGAGAAGGUCAUCGUCACCACCAAGCACAAUGAUGACGAGCAGUACAUCUGGGAGUCUCAGGCUGGAGGAUCUUUCACAGUGACCAGGGACUCUGGUGAGCCUCUUGGCAGGGGUACCAAGAUCUGCCUUCACCUGAAGGAGGACCAACUUGAGUACCUUGAAGAGCGCAGGCUCAAGGAUUUGAUCAAGAAGCACUCCGAGUUCAUCAGCUACCCUAUUUCAUUGUGGAUUGAGAAGACCACUGAGAAGGAGAUCUCUGAUGAUGAGGAUGAAGAAGAAAAGAAGGAAGAGGAAGGAAAGGUGGAGGAAGUUGAUGAAGAGAAGGAAAAGGAGGAGAAGAAAAAGAAGAAAAUUCAGGAGAUUUCUCACGAAUGGUCUUUGGUGAACAAGCAAAAGCCUAUCUGGAUGAGGAAGCCAGAAGAGAUCAACAAGGAAGAGUACUCAGCAUUCUACAAGAGUCUUACCAAUGACUGGGAAGAGCACCUUUCUGUCAAGCACUUCUCAGUUGAGGGUCAGCUGGAAUUCAAGGCCAUCCUCUUUGUUCCCAAGAGG